UGAGGAAUAUUGGGCAAUGCCCGCAAGGGUGACCCAGCAACGCCGCGUGGAGGAUGAAUGUCGUAAGAUUGUAAACUCCUGUUAGAGGGGAAGAAUAGUACCGGUUGGACCGGUAUAUGACUGUACCCUCAGAGAAAGCCCCGGCUGACUACGUGCCAGCAGCCGCGGUAAUACGUAGGGGGCAAGCGUUGUCCGGAUUUACUGGGUGUAAAGGGCGCGCAGGCGGGAUAAAAAGUCAGUGGUGAAAUCCUACAGCUUAACUGUAGAACUGCCUUUGAUACUUUUAUUCUUGAGUUCGGGAGAGAGAGACGGAAUUCCAGGUGUAGUGGUGAAAUACGUAGAUAUCUGGAAGAACACCAGUUGCGAAGGCGGUCUCUUGGUCCGACACUGACGCUGAGGCGCGAAAGCGUGGGGAGCAAACA
Molecule: ribosomal RNA, 422 nt
Filed under: uncultured bacterium
Lineage: Bacteria
Description: bacterial SSU rRNA
Rfam family: Bacterial small subunit ribosomal RNA
Source: RNAcentral